Molecule: ribosomal RNA, 468 nt
Filed under: uncultured bacterium
Lineage: Bacteria
Description: partial 16S ribosomal RNA
Rfam family: Bacterial small subunit ribosomal RNA
Source: RNAcentral
GACGAACGCUGGCGGCGUGCUUAACACAUGCAAGUCGAACGGAAAGGCCCUGCUUUUGUGGGGUGCUCGAGUGGCGAACGGGUGAGUAACACGUGAGUAACCUGCCCUUGACUUUGGGAUAACUUCAGGAAACUGGGGCUAAUACCGGAUAGGAGCUCCUGCUGCAUGGUGGGGGUUGGAAAGUUUCGGCGGUUGGGGAUGGACUCGCGGCUUAUCAGCUUGUUGGUGGGGUAGUGGCUUACCAAGGCUUUGACGGGUAGCCGGCCUGAGAGGGUGACCGGCCACAUUGGGACUGAGAUACGGCCCAGACUCCUACGGGAGGCAGCAGUGGGGAAUAUUGCAAAAGGGGCGGAAGCCUGAUGCAGCAACGCCGCGUGCGGGAUGACGGCCUUCGGGUUGUAACCCGCUUUCGCCUGUGACGAAGCGUGAGUGACGGUAAUGGGUAAAGAAGCACCGGCUAACUACGUG